Molecule: ribosomal RNA, 253 nt
Filed under: uncultured bacterium
Lineage: Bacteria
Description: partial 16S ribosomal RNA
Rfam family: Bacterial small subunit ribosomal RNA
Source: RNAcentral
UACGUAGGGGGCAAGCGUUGUCCGGAUUUAUUGGGCGUAAAGAGCGUGUAGGCGGCUAGGUAGGUCCGUUGUGAAAACUCGAGGCUCAACCUCGAGACGCCGGUGGAAACCAUCUAGCUAGAGUCCGGAAGAGGAGAGUGGAAUUCCUGGUGUAGCGGUGAAAUGCGCAGAUAUCAGGAAGAACACCCGUGGCGAAGGCGGCUCUCUGGGACGUAACUGACGCUGAGGAGCGAAAGCGUGGGGAGCGAACAGG